UAGGGAAUCUUCCACAAUGGACGCAAGUCUGAUGGAGCAACGCCGCGUGAGUGAAGAAGGCUUUCGGGUCGUAAAACUCUGUUGUUGGAGAAGAAUGGUCGGCAGAGUAACUGUUGUCGGCGUGACGGUAUCCAACCAGAAAGCCACGGCUAACUACGUGCCAGCAGCCGCGGUAAUACGUAGGUGGCAAGCGUUAUCCGGAUUUAUUGGGCGUAAAGCGAGCGCAGGCGGUUUUUUAAGUCUGAUGUGAAAGCCCUCGGCUUAACCGAGGAAGCGCAUCGGAAACUGGGAAACUUGAGUGCAGAAGAGGACAGUGGAACUCCAUGUGUAGCGGUGAAAUGCGUAGAUAUAUGGAAGAACACCAGUGGCGAAGGCGGCUGUCUGGUCUGUAACUGACGCUGAGGCUCGAAAGCAUGGGUAGCGAACAGGAUUAGAUACCCUGGUAGUCCAUGCCGUAAACGAUGA
RNAcentral lists this ribosomal RNA (465 nucleotides) under uncultured bacterium. Its description in RNAcentral is "partial 16S ribosomal RNA". It matches the Rfam family "Bacterial small subunit ribosomal RNA", at positions 355 to 812 of the family's 1533-position model. The record is from RNAcentral.